UCUCGGCUCUUGCAUCGAUGAAGAACGUAGUGAAAUGCGAUACUUGGUGUGAAUUGCAGAAUCUCGUGAACCAUUGAGUCUUUGAACGCAAGUUGUGCCCGAGGCCUUGUGGCCGAGGGCACGCCUGCUUGGGCGUCAUGGCAUCGUCACCUUUGCUCCUUGCUU
This 165-nucleotide ribosomal RNA is filed under the name Amomum prionocarpum. RNAcentral describes it as "5.8S ribosomal RNA". The stretch from base 1 to 138 matches the Rfam family "5.8S ribosomal RNA", at positions 19 to 154 of the family's 154-position model. Rfam says of the family: 5.8S ribosomal RNA (5.8S rRNA) is a component of the large subunit of the eukaryotic ribosome. It is transcribed by RNA polymerase I as part of the 45S precursor that also contains 18S and 28S rRNA. Functionally, it is thought that 5.8S rRNA may be involved in ribosome translocation. The record is from RNAcentral. Lineage: Eukaryota; Viridiplantae; Streptophyta; Magnoliopsida; Zingiberales; Zingiberaceae.